Molecule: ribosomal RNA, 2718 nt
Filed under: Triticum aestivum (bread wheat)
Lineage: Eukaryota; Viridiplantae; Streptophyta; Magnoliopsida; Poales; Poaceae
Description: partial small subunit ribosomal RNA
Source: RNAcentral
AUGCAGCCGGCGGCAAUGGAGACCGGCCAGGGCCAGCCAUGGGAGUACAGACUGCGGAAGUACCUCCUGCUGCUGGCCACCCUGGUGGCCAGCAUCACGUACACCGCGGGCUUCAACCCACCGGGGGGCGUCUGGCAGCAGAAGGGCUCCGACGAAGACGGCCACCGCGCUGGCGACCACAUCAUCAACGACACCGACAACCGCCGGCACCUCGCCUUCUUCUAUUGCAACGCCACCGCGUUCAUCGCGUCCCUCGUAGUCAUCGUCCUCAUCCUCAUCCUCGCCAUACGGCACGACAAGGACAAGGACAAGAAGGACGCCGUGUGGGUCGCCUCAGGCUCAGGCGUCGUGCCGCUGCGGCUUGUCAUGGUGCUCGACCUGCUCAGCCUCGUGGGCGCCUACACCGCCGGCACCUGCCGAGACAAGGUGUCAUCUCUCUACUCAGCCGCGCUGGUGGCCGCCAUUUUCAUCUACAUCGUGCUUCUCAAGCUGCUGGACCUGGACUGGUGGUGGUGCUUUCCAAACGAAAGCAGCAACUCCUUGUCCACCACCUCCGAGCUCCCGUUGCCGCGGGAGGAGAUGAAAGCCGAAGAACGGUUCCGCAAGGUCCUGAUGCUUCUGGCGACAUUCGCGGUGAGCAUCACGUAUGUCGCCGGGCUGAGCACACCGGGCGGCUUCUGGGACAGCACCGACGGCAGCCACCGGCCGGGCGACGCCAUCCUCAAGGAUCACCACAGCCUGCGGCUGAUGGUGUUCCUGCUCUGCAACACCACAGCGUUCAUGGCUUCCCUGUUCAUCACCAUGCUUCUCAUCAUCGACGGCAGGAAGCUCCUUGGGAAGACGGCCCGGACUCGCGAGCUCUACACUUGCAUCAUCGUCGCGCUAGUCAGCCUCGUCGCCGCCUAUGCCGCUGGCAGCUGCAGGAAGAAUGACACCACCGUCUAUGUGGUCAGCCUUGUUGGCGCCGUUCUGGCAUUCAUCCUACUCCUGGUACUCCAUCGUUUCUUCUACGGCAAUUCUUGUUCCAGUCCAGAGCAACAAUCUGAUGAAAAUCAGCAGACUAGUGAUAAUGCCAGUGCUUGUACCGGUGUAUUCCUUUUUUUCUCAGCCUGGUUGGCGUCGUUCCGGCGGCGGCAGGCUGGUGAUAAUGCCAGCUGCAGUGCUAGCAGGGAAGCUCUGGACAAGACCCGCUCUCUUGUUCUACUGCUCGCCACUCUUGCCGCCACCAUCACCUACUCAGCGGGGUUGGACCCACCGGGUGGACUUUGGCAGGAUGGGGACAUGGCCGGCAACCCGAUUCUUCUCACGGCGGAUGCUAGGCGGUACAAUGUCUUCUACUACUGCAAUUCGGUUUCUUUCGUGGCGUCAUUGGUGGUCAUCAUCCUGGUCCAGGAGGAGAUUCUCGUCAAGCACCAUGUGCUGGAGGCAACCAUGAUACUCGACCUGUUUGGCCUCGUCGGCGCGUAUGCCGCCGGGAGCUGCAGGAACAUGAAGCAAUCCAUCUAUGCCAUGGCCUUGGCAUUCGCCGUCCUGGGCUACGUGGUGAUCCAUGUUGUCUUCUUCACGCUGGAUCAUGAGGAAAAGAAGAAUCACGACAAUAAUGAAGAUCCGGUGCUUGAGGAUAGGCGCAAACUGCUUGAGGAGAGGCGCAACCAGUUUCUUGACAAGAGGCGCAAACGGUUGUUACUCUUCGCAAUCUUGGCCGCGACCAUCACCUACCAAGCCGGCCUCACCCCUCCGGGCGGCUUCCUGCUCCAGGACAAGCUCGGAAACCACGCCGGUGACCCGGUCCUCCUGUGCAACGACCAGCGCCGCUACAAAGCCUUCUUCUACUGCAACUCGGUGAGCUUCAUGUUGUCCAUCGCUCUCAUCAUCCUCCUGGUGAACCCCACUGUGUAUAGACCAGCCAUAGAAAGCAAUGCGUUGUCUGUUUGUACGGCGGUGGGCUUGUUUUGUUUGAUGGGGGCCUACGCCGCCGGAAGCACGCAGGACGAUAAGACAUCCAUCUACAUCUUCGUCUUGGUGGCGCUGGUCCUCUUCGUUGCAGCCGGAUUGCUAGUAGUAUAUUUUGUGGGGGAGCGGAGAAGAAAUGCCAAUCCAGCAGCAGACAUGCGGUCCAUACUUGAACAGGAUGCCGCUAAGGAGGAAGAAGAUAGGAAGAAGGAGGAAGAAGAAAGAAAGGAGGUAGAAGAAAAGAAGAAGGAUGCAGAAGAAAGGAAGAAGCACGCGAGGCGCAAGUACCUGAUGCUGGUAGGCAUCUUGGUGGCAAGCGUAGCCUACCAGGCCGGACUGGAACCGCCCGGCGGGAUGUGGCAGAGCAGCAGCGACGAGCACGAGGCGGGCAGCCCGGUGAUGCAAGAUAACAUGAGGGGCCGGUACCUCUUCUUCUUCUACAGCAACUCAAUUUCUCUUGUGGCUUCCAUCGUUGUCAUCAUCAUGCUGCUACCGCAUUGGCUGCCCAAGAAGAAAGAAGAAUGUGAAGAUUGGUCGCUGAGGGUGAUGAACAAGACGAUCAUACUGGAUUUGGUUGCUCUCCUAGGGGCCUAUGCAGCCGGCUCCUGCAGGGGGUGGAAGACAUCUAUGUAUGUCGUCGCGCUCAUCGUUGCCGUGCUGGGCUACUUUGCCAUCCAUAUGAAACUGUCAUUAUGCCGGCGGAAGAAUCCUCGUCGUUAUGGGAGCAUUGAGAGGCAGAACAGCCAAGGAAAUCAGCCAGUCUGA